Brassica oleracea var. oleracea is the source of this 1447-nucleotide long non-coding RNA. RefSeq lists it as uncharacterized. The transcript has 10 exons. The record is from RefSeq and is a predicted model, not a curated record. Lineage: Eukaryota; Viridiplantae; Streptophyta; Magnoliopsida; Brassicales; Brassicaceae.
AUCCAAUUCAAGCUCAUCUCGCUACGGAUGAAACGCGUGAAGUUUGUUCUUCCUCGACGAUUCCUCUUCGUCAUCACCGAUCAAAUUUCCGCAUUUCACCGUUACCGUAAUCCACUCUUGCUCUAUAAUUCUGAUUUAAUGGUUUCGUUCCACCUUCCCCUCUAUCUCCUUCUAUAUAAAGCCAACCCUAAUUGAAACUAUGAAGAAACAGCUACAUCUACCGGCAUGUCUCCCCUCUCCACCGGCAGGUUUUGCUUUUGGAAUCUAUGUUUGGAGGCGUCUUUUCUGUGCCUGUGAAUAAUCUUCACUUGCGCAAAUCUGGAAGUAGACUCAUCAUCGCUAAUCUUGGAGAGAAUGACUUGAAGAACUCAAGUAUGCAACUAGGUACUAUUGCCAAAUUGCGAAGCCCUUUUAGUCCUUAGCAGCCUCAAGGUUGCUCUGUAUGUUGGUGGUCUUUAUAUUUGUGGAAAGAUUGGAUGGGAAUCUGUAAUGAAAAUGGGACAAGACACACGAGAACUGUUCUUCUAUGAAACAUUUCUAUAUUACAACCCUCUCCUUCUCAUUACAAUGAUGGUUUGGCUCUGGGGUGUUAAUCUGUGGGUGUUUUCUCGAACUGGAGUCGAUUACGCAGCAAUAUUUUAUCUAGGACCAGAUCAUCUUAGUCACAAAGUGAUAUGGAAGUGUGCUAGGUGGAUGACGACGAUAAUAUUAACUAGCAUGACUGCGUAUCUGUAUCUAUACUCGCAUGGAGAUGUGUCCUUGGCUGCUUCUCAACCAGUGUAAUAGAUAUUGUUUUGUAUCUCUCUGCUGUGAUCAUUCUCAUCAUCCCUUUCGAUAUCUUCUACAAGGCGUUAGGCUCAACCCGACCGCCCGACUAGCGCCUAGCGCGUUCCCGAACAGAGGUUCUGACUACAUAACAAACCUAGAAUUAUCUUUCGUAGUUGUCCAGAAUUUGAUUGCUAUAGUAUUACUUAUAUGUUUAAUUUUGUCACUCUUUCUUUACUAGGAUCUUCGAGAUCACAUGAGCUCCAAUGUUACAAGUGGAAGCUUAGAAACGUUUCCAUGAGCUGAGCCGAGAUUCAAUGGUCCUUGCAAUUAAAGAUUGGAAAACAGGGCAGUACCUACAGAUUAUGUUUGAAAAACCACAAAAGUUACAAGAGACCAGGAGCUAUUCCAUCACCCAAGCAAUGAAAUGGCACAUCUGCCACAUCCGAAUAUGGUUUCAAGACGCAAACUCUGAUCCAAACUGAAUCUGCUUUGGUAUCAAUGAACUAAAAGUUCAUUCAAUUUUUUUUUUUUCAAUUCUUGUAUAUAUGUGCGUGUAUAUAUUGGGUACAAAAAUCCAUAUAAGAGAACACAACGAAAAACCUAUGUUUUUUUAUCUGUGUAUACUCGGAAGGAAUAUAGAGCUCAAAAGUUAAGAAUGUGUGGAAGUUUCAAUUAGACA